AUGAAGAUGGAACAUUUUGGGAUAAUGUACCCUGGUUUUUCUCGGAAAACCCUAUGGUUCUUUAUGGAUCCUCUUAUGCAUUAUGUUCGAUAUCAAGGCAAUUCUUGCAUCAAAAGGCACUUUUUUGAAGAAGAAAUGGAAAUGUGUACCAAAAAGUUCUUUGUUAGUAAGGAAUUAAAUGCUGGAGAAUUCAUUUCUAAUAGAUACUCGAAUUAA
Molecule: ribosomal RNA, 216 nt
Filed under: Triticum aestivum (bread wheat)
Lineage: Eukaryota; Viridiplantae; Streptophyta; Magnoliopsida; Poales; Poaceae
Description: partial small subunit ribosomal RNA
Source: RNAcentral